CUGGACCCACAAAAAGAAAACCUUGACCU
Molecule: ribosomal RNA, 29 nt
Filed under: uncultured Russula
Lineage: Eukaryota; Fungi; Basidiomycota; Agaricomycetes; Russulales; Russulaceae
Description: partial 28S ribosomal RNA
Source: RNAcentral